Molecule: long non-coding RNA, 412 nt
Filed under: Pan troglodytes (chimpanzee)
Lineage: Eukaryota; Metazoa; Chordata; Mammalia; Primates; Hominidae
Description: long non-coding RNA NONPTRT001797
Source: RNAcentral
GAAGACAUAGCCCCUGAUUUUGAGGGGAUUGAAGUCCAGGGGACAAAGAGAUAGAGAUACAUAAAUAAUUUCAGCAUCAUGUCAUAAAGGCGAUGACAGAAGUAUGUACAAUAUAUUUGCAGUGGAUCUAUUGUUCAGAAGAAGUCAAGAUAGCUUUGUUAGAUAAGGAGUUUGAGCUGGCUUUUGCAUAUAAGGACUUUGAGGCAUGGAGAGACGAAGAAAUUUGUUCAAGGUCACAUAGCUGUGCAGUGGGAGAGUUGGGAUUUGAACCUGAACAAGCUGGAAAGCUGCAAAGAAACAUUCUCUGCUGAAGGAACAACAGGGUAGAGAGGUGUGAAAGGGGCUGGCUUAGUCAGGGAGGACAGAGGGCCACUGGGGAUGGAGGGCAGGUGAUGUGAUUGUACCAGCUGGG